This 87-nucleotide small nucleolar RNA is filed under the name Habropoda laboriosa. Its description in RNAcentral is "Small nucleolar RNA snR60/Z15/Z230/Z193/J17". It matches the Rfam family "Small nucleolar RNA snR60/Z15/Z230/Z193/J17". Rfam says of the family: The members of this family belong to the C/D class of snoRNAs which contain the C (UGAUGA) and D (CUGA) box motifs. Most of the members of the box C/D family function in directing site-specific 2'-O-methylation of substrate RNAs. The family includes the yeast snoRNA snR60 (also known as Z15) and the corresponding human guide snoRNA U80 (SNORD80). Lineage: Eukaryota; Metazoa; Arthropoda; Insecta; Hymenoptera; Apidae. The record is from Rfam by way of RNAcentral.
AUAUAUCGAAUGAUGAGUACAUAGUUCAACUGAAUCGCAUUGAUGAUACACGAGAAAUUAGUCUUUCGCCCCUAUCUGAUUAUUUUU